Molecule: transfer RNA, 72 nt
Filed under: Camelus bactrianus (Bactrian camel)
Lineage: Eukaryota; Metazoa; Chordata; Mammalia; Artiodactyla; Camelidae
Also listed under: 3 other names
Rfam family: tRNA
About the family: Transfer RNA (tRNA) molecules are approximately 80 nucleotides in length. Their secondary structure includes four short double-helical elements and three loops (D, anti-codon, and T loops).
Source: Rfam by way of RNAcentral
GAGGGUAGAGCUCAGUGGUAGAGCAUGUGCUUAGCAAACACAAGGUCCUGGGUUCAAUCCCCAGUACCUCCA